GACGAACGCUGGCGGCGUGCCUAAUACAUGCAAGUAGAACGCACAGUUUAUACCGUAGCUUGCUACACCAUAAACUGUGAGUUGCGAACGGGUGAGUAACGCGUAGGUAACCUGCCUGGUAGCGGGGGAUAACUAUUGGAAACGAUAGCUAAUACCGCAUAAUAUUGAUUAUUGCAUGAUAAUUGAUUGAAAGAUGCUAUUGCAUCACUACCAGAUGGACCUGCGUUGUAUUAGCUAGUAGGUGAGGUAACGGCUCACCUAGGCGACGAUACAUAGCCGACCUGAGAGGGUGAUCGGCCACACUGGGACUGAGACACGGCCCAGAAUCCUACGGGAGGCAGCAGUAGGGAAUCUUCGGCAAUGGACGAAAGUCUGACCGAGCAACGCCGCGUGAGUGAAGAAGGUUUUCGGAUCGUAAAGCUCUGUUGUAAGAGAAGAACGGGUGUGAGAGUGGAAAGUUCACACUGUGACGGUAUCUUAACAGAAAGGGACGGCUAACUACGUG
RNAcentral lists this ribosomal RNA (505 nucleotides) under uncultured bacterium. Its description in RNAcentral is "partial 16S ribosomal RNA". It matches the Rfam family "Bacterial small subunit ribosomal RNA", at positions 28 to 507 of the family's 1533-position model. The record is from RNAcentral.